This 682-nucleotide ribosomal RNA is filed under the name uncultured bacterium. RNAcentral's name for it is "bacterial SSU rRNA". It matches the Rfam family "Bacterial small subunit ribosomal RNA", at positions 56 to 747 of the family's 1533-position model. The record is from RNAcentral.
UGCAGUCGACGGACUUAAUCGAAUAUUUAUAUUUUGAAGCGGUUAGUGGCGGACUGGUGAGUAACGCGUAAGGAACCUGCCUAUUAGAGGGGAAUAACAGUGAGAAAUCAUUGCUAAUACCGCAUAUGCCAUAGAUAUCACAUGAUAACAGUGGGAAAGGAGCAAUCCGCUAAUAGAUGGCCUUGCGUCUGAUUAGAUAGUUGGUGGGGUAACGGCCUACCAAGUCGACGAUCAGUAGCCGGACUGAGAGGUUGAACGGCCACAUUGGGACUGAGAUACGGCCCAGACUCCUACGGGAGGCAGCAGUCGGGAAUAUUGCGCAAUGGAGGAAACUCUGACGCAGUGACGCCGCGUAUAGGAAGAAGGCUUUCGGAUUGUAAACUAUUGUCGUUAGGGAAGAGAAAGGACAGUACCUAAGGAGGAAGCUCCGGCUAACUACGUGCCAGCAGCCGCGGUAAUACGUAGGGAGCGAGCGUUAUCCGGAAUUAUUGGGUGUAAAGGGUGCGUAGACGGGAGAACAAGUUAGUUGUGAAAUACCUCGGCUCAACUGAGGAACUGCAACUAAAACUGUACUUCUUGAGUGCAGGAGAGGUAAGUGGAAUUCCUAGUGUAGCGGUGAAAUGCGUAGAUAUUAGGAGGAACACCAGUGGCGAAGGCGACUUACUGGACUGUAACUGACGUU